This 363-nucleotide unclassified non-coding RNA is filed under the name Zea mays. RNAcentral describes it as "misc RNA Zm00001eb292500". Lineage: Eukaryota; Viridiplantae; Streptophyta; Magnoliopsida; Poales; Poaceae. The record is from RNAcentral.
GUCAGCAGUCCCAUGUACAUCAGUGGAAACUUCAAAUUUCAUUUCAUCAGCAGGUUCCAUAAGUUCCAUGCAAGUUUUAACCCCUAUGAAAAAAUAUCAUUUAGCAACAAGCCAACAAAGGGCAACAGACUGUCAAGUGCAAACUGUUCUGCACAUAUGUAAUGAAUUGAUGAUCGUUCCAGCAGAUGAUAACACAGACUUACAGUCCAUGGAGAUAACCCAUUUGCCAUUCAAGAUUGCCAUCAGAAACUUCAGUGUGCGCUUGCAAGAACCAGACAUGUUGGUUGAUGCAAUAACAUGGGUAACAUUAGGACUCCAACUUGUUGAGAUUGGCACACCAGCUAUUUUUGCGAGUUCUGAUAC